Molecule: long non-coding RNA, 548 nt
Organism: Musca domestica (house fly)
Lineage: Eukaryota; Metazoa; Arthropoda; Insecta; Diptera; Muscidae
Exons: 2
Source: RefSeq, a predicted model, not a curated record
UUAAAAAGAUUUUCUAAUUUAUGCAUGGAAAACGAAAUGCUACAUUUUCAUGCACAAAUCUCAUUGUAUUCAUAAGUCGAAGACGACGAUGAAGGAGAAGGAAACGAAAUAAUUUAAUUUAACCCCUCAAUGAGAACAAUUACAAAUGCUAUUAAAGUCGUUUCUAGAUUUGUUGCAAGGAAAAAUAAUUGCAAAUAUAUACCCAAGCAGCAUCGAUGUCGAUGCCCUAUCAUCCAUCCAACCAUCUGCAGCAAUGAAUCGACGCGCUACGAAUUUUAUGUGGGCCAAGAAUAACAAAAGCAGCAACAAUUUGGCCUUAGAAAAGUUAAACCGUAAAGACACACUUUGGAGGAAAAGCAAAAUUUUCGACACAAUAAAAACACAAACAACAACAAAAAUAAUCACAACAGACGGUCGUUCCGAGCCAACGCAAGUAGUAAUGAAGCUUAAGUACAACGAUCGCCCGAAAUGGGACCACAAGCUCAGGAUAUACAAGGGAGAAGGAAAUGCUUAAUGAAAAUAACAAUAAAAAAUGUGUUGAUACAGUU